This 426-nucleotide long non-coding RNA is filed under the name Pan troglodytes (chimpanzee). RNAcentral describes it as "lincRNA". Lineage: Eukaryota; Metazoa; Chordata; Mammalia; Primates; Hominidae. The record is from RNAcentral.
AGUCUCAGCUGUAAAAAUAGAGUCCCCAGGGAAUACUGAUAGCCUUUUUCCAAUAAAGCGAAAUCUAUUUGCAAUAAUAGGUAUAUGCAAAGACUUCCUGAAAUUACAGGAGCAAACUCCUUCCGCAUCUCGACCUAAUUAAGAUCCAUUACUCAACAGUGAUCAGUCAGAUUUUACUGUAAGAAGGAAGAAAACAAGGAUCCUGCUAGAACAACAUGGAAACAGGCUGAUCUUAGGACCUACAACAAAGAGAUUUCUCACUGGCUUCCUGGUGGUUCAUUCAAUAGGGAAUUCCUGCAGCAAGUUGGAGGGAGGGAGGAGAAGCAGGGAGGCCACCUCCUGUCAAAGCUGGGACAUCUGAGAGACAGUGGUCACACAACAACUCAACUGCAUGUGCACCUAAAACAGUAGCUUAUUUUCUCUGAC